GGGGGGGGGCGCUUACAAAAUGUUACAGUUUGGAGUAACAUUCUUGCCUCCUACUUUACUAUAAAAGAAAGAUGAGAGUUGUUCAUUAUGUGGCUGCUUCCUGCUGAAUAGGGGCACUGUAGUCAGGGUUUGGGUUUUGAAGUACUGCGUGUCGUCUUCAGAGUUGUUUUCCUGGAGGCGCUGAUACCGGACUUGGUGGAGAAGGAUGGUAUGAAUGUGUUUCUAGGUGGCUGCCUGGACAAGGGAGUUCAGCCUUUGGGAGAUAAAGCAGAAUAUAAAGUUCACAGAUCUAUGGAUAGCAGGAGCCACAUCUGGACCUGUGGCUCUGCUCUCAUCUCUGCAAUUUAGAAACCACCAUGAAUUAUCAAAAAUCCUAGACUCUGAUUUGAUGUUAUGAAUGGAUAAAACUUUUCUAUUUUCUCCAAUGGGAAGACAGAGAAUAUAUGUUGCUUGCAAGAAAGAAUAAAGCAAAUAUUUGGAACCAAA
RNAcentral lists this long non-coding RNA (486 nucleotides) under Homo sapiens (human). RNAcentral describes it as "non-protein coding JRKL-AS1:1". The record is from RNAcentral. Lineage: Eukaryota; Metazoa; Chordata; Mammalia; Primates; Hominidae.